Arabidopsis lyrata subsp. lyrata is the source of this 5374-nucleotide long non-coding RNA. RefSeq lists it as uncharacterized. The record is from RefSeq and is a predicted model, not a curated record. The transcript has 15 exons. Lineage: Eukaryota; Viridiplantae; Streptophyta; Magnoliopsida; Brassicales; Brassicaceae.
CUGUGCAUCAUAAUCCUUUAGGGAAACUUUUGACAAUUUCAGUUACAGCAGAUCACUUCAUUAUAUUAUACAUAGUUUUUCUGUUGAACAUUAAUUCCUUUAAACCCUAAUGCAAGAAUAUGUUCUUCAGCGAAAUCCGACUUUGCUUUGAAGUAAACUUUCCUUGAAAGCAAAAACUUAAGUUCCUUAACCCUAAUACAACUCUUUAGCUUAUUACUUGAUACUCAAGUUCUCUCUAACUCUUUAGCACUAGUACUUUACUACUUUCCAAAUCAAUAAAACACUAAAAUUAUUCAUUUCAGUUUCUAUUGAUUAAAUCUUGAUCAAAGUUCCUUCUUUUUAAUCAUUUAUUAACAGAAACACAAAUAUACGUAGCGUGAAUUUUGACAUCCACAGCUAUCUCAUAGGAGGGUUGAAAAACUCUGGUGUUAUUAUGCAAAAUUGAAAACACAGGGUGAAAAAACGGAAUCUUAGAAAUUUUAGGGAGUGAUUUUAAAAAAUGGUAAACAAUAAUUGGAGGAUGAAUAACAAACCGGAAAUCACACUAAACCCGGUAUUAGACUAAGAGUCAUAGUAUUAAUUAAACCAAAAUAAACCGGAAAUCACACUAAACUCGGUAUUAGCCAAAAGCUGAUUUUGCCCAUGUGAUUCGAAAUCUGUAACUAGUAAUUUGAAUUUUUGUUUUUAACGGACAUAAUGUUCAGAUUAGGGGGGAAAAAUCUAAUUUCAAUUCAAAUCCAAAUGAUCUAACGGAAUAAGCCAGGGCAUUUUCGUAAUUUCGUAUUAAUUGGCCUAACCAACCACUACAAAUAGAAAAUUUUCCUCUCUUUCAUUUCAUCACCGACUCGAAAACAGCUUCUUCUCUACGAUUUCAAAUUACUUUCGCGAUCAAAGUUAUCUGAUCGGAAUCAAUCUGUUUCGGCUCCAGCCGGUGAUGAAUCUGAUGGAUGCGAUCGCAUUUUGGGGGAAAAUCCUUGUCGCCGCCGCCAAGAGAAGCGUGUGAUUGAAUCAGAAAACCCUCCGAUUACGCAAAAGAAUCAGCCGGUGAUGAAUCUGAUGGAUGCGAUCGCAUUUUGGGGGAAAUUUCUUGUCGCCGCCGUCAAGAGAAGCGUGUGAUUGAAUCAGAAAACCCUCCGAUUACGCAAAAGUAUCAGAGAACAAAAGGGAGACCAUUUGCUAGCCAACACGUUUACUUCCAACAAUGUAUAUUACUUGUUUACAAAUCUGAGCAGAGGAGAGCAACCAAAUGUCAACAGGGAGGAUUCUGAGCUUUCUUCAGUCAAAAUGUAACUUUUGACGAAGGGUUUCAAGAUGAAGGAAAAUCAUUCAGUAGCCAACAAAGGUAUGGUUAAGUAGCUCCCUCUGUCUCCCACUUAUCAUGUCUCUUGCACUGUCUAAAAACAGAGCAUAAAUCCACGAAAACCAACACUCAAACGCACACAAAAAAAUCAAACACACAAACUAGUUUAAAGUCACGAAAUCACAAAACGAAAUUCAAACACACCAACAAAAAACAUAGCACACAACGUUCAAACGCAUCAAGAAACAGAAAACAGAACAUAAAUCCACGAAAACCCACACGAAAAGAAAAUCAAACACACAAAACUAAUUUAAGUCACGAAAUUCAAACACACAAACAAAAAACAUAGCACACAAUCAAGAAACAAAAAACAAACUUUCACAGGAAAGUUUUAACCAAAAUUGUGAAUAAUCACAUUUGAUGGCAAGAACUUGCUUUGUGACUGUUCUUCAAACGAAAUGAAAAUGUGCUAUAUAGUUGAAAAUGCUUUCGUAUACACGAGGAUGGUUUGCAGUUUAAAUCAGGUUUUCAUAAGAAAGAGCAAAAGUUUCAGAUGCGUUUCAAUAUACUCAUGAAUGACAAGGUAAUCUUGUUAAACCUUUUUCAUCGUUUUAAACUCUUUUCUAUUAGAACCAAUGUGACUUUAUGUAAAACCACUUUAAUACAUACUUGAAGUAUCAGGGGUUUUAGUUAUAAUCUUCCAUUUAUUCAGAGGAUAGCUCCGACCUGGUAUCAAAAUUAGAGAAGGAAUAACUUUGUGUGAGCCUGCUGAUGUAUCUAUUAAAGAGUUGAUAAAGAGACCUGAAGAAGUUCACGCCAUAAAAAGCAUAAAUUCAACGUAUAAAGUGAAUAAGAUGGCACUCUGCUGGAACUUUCGAUUGUCAGUCAAGGACUGGAGGUCCAUUCGGAACAAUGAGGUUUGAUGCUGAGCAAGCUCAUGGAGCCAACAGUGGUAUCCACAUUGCUCUUAGCUUGCUGGUGUUGUCGCUGCUGAAGACUGGUGGCCCUGAAAUUCCUUUCUACCCUUGAAGAGAGGACAAGCCCCAGCCACCUCCAGAGGGUCGUCUUCCUGAUGCUACAAAGGGUUUUGAUCACUUGAGAGAUGUCUUUGCUAAGCAGAUGGGCUUCUCUGAAAAGGACAUUGUCGCCUUAUCCGGUGCCCACACUCCUAUAUCUCCAUUUCAGAGCUAAAAACACUUGUGAAAAAGGGUCUUUACUAAUAAAGGUCAUUGCUUACAAGUGAAGAGAUCCUUAAGUUGCAAAGAACGAAAGGGAGACUAUUCGCUAGCCAAGACAUACAAAUGUUAAGGUCAAGUCUCUUCCUCUCUCUCCUUUACCGCAAUUAGACACGUAGGAUAGAGAGGCUUGCACUAUCCCAAAAAUGUUUACUUCUGUACCAUUCUAUAUCUCUUACAAAACGUUUGUCUGUUUUUUUUUGUAUCUUUGAAUAAGAACUAGAUAAGGUGAACUAGAGAAGAUGAAGCCGACUUGCAAUUUCCAGCAGCUUCCAACAAUGUAUAUUACCGUUAAGAUAAUAUGAGCUGAGGAAGCAACCAAAUGUCGACAGGGAGGAUUCUGUAAGUUUGUCAUUUUUUGGUUUUAAUGAUCUUUUGAAUUCAAAUAUUCGUUCUAUGUUUAAACUGCUUGUUAUUAUUAACAAAUGUUCUUUGGUUUCUUAAGUUGGAAUGGAACUUUUGACAAAGGUUUCAAGAUGAAAGAUUGUUUGGCUGCAAAGAAGCUUUGAAGACCAUUUAGUAGCCAAAAAAGGUAUGGUUAAGUCUCUCACUUAUCAUGUCUUUUGCACUGUCUCGAAAACAGAGCAUAAGUUCAUGAAAACACACUCAAACGCACACAAAAUAAAAUAAAAUCAAACACAAAAAUAUUAAUUAAAAGUCACCAAAAAAAAAACAAAAAACAUAGCACAAAACGUCCAAAUGCAACACCAAGAAACAUAAAACAGAACAUAAAUCCACGAAAACUGACACUCGAACGUACAAAAAAAAAAUCAAACACACAAUAAUUAAUUAAAAGUAACACAAACAAAAACAUAGCACACAACAUCCAAACGCAACUUCAAAAAUAGAAAUCAAGCUUUCACAGAAAUGUUUUAACAAAAUGUGUGAAUAAUCACAUUUGAUGUCAUAAACAUGCUUUGUUCCCUUGUUUCUUACUUUCUUAUCUACUUGGUUUAGUAUAGCUUAUAUUAACUUAUUUUCUUCUUGAAGCGAAAUGCAAACAUGCUAUAUAGUUGAAAAUGCUUUCGUGUAAAUGAGGAUGGUUUGCAGUUAAUACCAGGUUUCCAUAAGAAAGAGCAAAAGUUUCAGAUGCGUUGCAGGUAAUCAUGAAUGAUAAGCUCCGACCGGGUAUCAAAAUUAGAGAAGGAAUUACUUUGUGUGAGCCUGCUGAUGUAUCAUUAAGGAGUUGAUAAAGAGACUUGAAGAAGGCACACCGAUCAAGAGUGGGUGACAAGAGGGAUGUUUUUGUAAAGGUGAGACAACUGAAUAUUCUUAGCUUGCUUUCAAUUAGUUUCUGAAAGUGCUUUAGGUUCAAAGACCUGGAAUUGAGAACUCAAUGAUGCAGAAAAAGAGAAGCAUUUAUUUAUCAUUUCUAUCUGUUCACGCCAUAGAAAGCAAUCAACGUAUAAAGUGAAUAAGGUUUGGACUGGUGAUCCUUGCUCUCCAAGACUAUUUCCUUGGGAAGGUACUUCUAAUUACCAAAUCAAGUCCAUGUAAGUCAUUCAUUUCAACCAGACAAUAACUCAUUUUUGUAAUCUCCCUCAAGGAUAAUUCUGCUGAUGAGCUUGUUUUCGUUUUUCUUGAUGCGAGAAUGAAUUUUAGUUCAAGUGGGUUACAAGGACCAAUAACCUUCUCCUCUAGAUAUCUCUCCCUCCUUGAGUCAUUGGAUAUCAAACAACAACCUGAGAGGGGAUUUUUUGGAUUAUCUAAAAUAUCUGAAGUUCUGUAAGGUUGAGCACAUAAAGAGGCUUUUCGUUUGACAGACAUUUGAUAAUGUAUUUGUCACAUAAAUUUGAAAGGAGAUAACUUGGCUGGGUUUGUCCCAAGAUCUCUUAGGAAAAAAUGGCUGGUGGACUUGCACUGAGAGGUACAUUUUCUUGUCAAAACCCGGAACCAUAGUCAUCUUGUCAAUUUCCUCUCUGUAAAUAUUUUUUGUCACUUUCUAUGUCUAAGCUGCUUGUUAUUAACAAGGUUCUUUGGUUUCAAGAGCUUUUUUAAAGUAGAAAUGGAACUUUUGACAAGGGGUUUCAAGAUGAAGGAUUGUUUAGCUGCAAAGAAGCUUUGAAGACAGUUCAGUAGCCAACAAAGGUAUGGUUAAGUAGCUCUCUCUCUCUCCCACUUAUCAUGUCUGGCACUGUCUCAAAAAUAGAGCAUAAAUCCACGAAAACCCACACUUUAACGCACAAAAAAAUAAAUCAAACACACAAAAAACAAAACGAAAUUCACACAAACAAAAAACAUAGCACACAACGUCCAAAUGCAACUUAAAGAAACAAAAAACAAAACAUAAAUCCACGAAAACCCACACUCGAACAUACACAAAAAAAAAUCACACACACAAAACGAAAUUGAAACGCACAAACAAAAAAUAUAGCACACAACGUCCAAACGCAACUUGAAGAAACAGAAAACAAAAUUUCACAGGAAGUUUUUAACAAAAAUUGUGAAUAAUCACAUUUGAUGGCAAGAAAUUGCGUUGUGACUGUUCCCAUAUCUCUUACUUUCUUUCUACUUGCUUUAGUAUAGCAUGUAUUAACUUAUAUAUUUGAAAAUGCUUUCGUGUACACGAGCAUUGUUUGCAGUUUAAACCAGGUUUUCAUAAGAAAGAGCAAAAGUUUCAGAUACGUUUCAAUAUACUCAUGAAUGACACGAGGUUUCAGCUAUGAUCUUCCAUUUAUUCAGAGGAUAGCUCCGACAGGGUAUCCAAAUUCUGCCUCAAAAUUAGAGAAUGGUAGUGCUUAAUAGUAUAGUAUUGUGUUUUCUUUUUCUCAUAAUUAAGUUGACAUUGUUCUUUUGUUCAUUAUUUAUGUCUAAUGUCCUUUUAAUUGGCUUAAUUGAU